UGGACUGUUCUGUGUUGCGUUCUUCCAAGAGUGCGUCCGUCCCAACACCGUGGCAACAACGCUAGACUGCACUAUUUCUUGCCGAUGUCGUGUUAGUUCGUCCGAAGUCUAUUUUCUACUUGGUUAGAACAAUUUCCUUGUUACAUGUCAUUCUCAGACAUGGACUCCGCAGCCAACUUUGUCAUCGUGCCCGUCGCACUGGGGCCGCAGGGAAUGGAGCGGACCAGUCUUCAUCUCUACAUCUGGGCAGACAUCUACUGCCAGCAGCAACCCGGGACACCCCAGGGAGCCCAAGCCCUCUACCGGUAGAGCUGCUGGGUCGUCGCCUACGUCGAACCUGUGGCCGCUGCAGCGCUGGCCACCCUCCCGGUCUUCGGCCUGUACCAGUACCCAGACGCCCACGCCGCCAUCGCCGCCGUCGUCAGGUUGGAGACCAUGGCCACCCUUGCCGCAUCGACGUUUUUAAAUAUGCAAGUCGAUGACGGCAACGCAACGGGCAUACAGACAAGACCGAAGACGGAAGCAGCGGUUCCACACUACAGGCCUACUGCAGCAGCAGUGGUGGUGGCGGUGAUAACACACAGGCCAGCACAAGCCUCGCAGGCAUGGAGGAAGCAUCGGACGUAUUGCGAAACGAAGCUAGGAAUCCCACUGGAACCGGAGGAAGGGAACCGCAAGAGUUGUGUGGUGUCUGUGGAAAUGUUUGGAGCAGACGGCAUGCGUUACACAGACACGCCAACGAACACACCCGUGACACAGCCCAUAUUUGCAAAGCAUGUGAUCAAUCAUCUUUGAAGAAUUCGAAGUUUGUGGGACGUUGCCCCAAGAAUACCGGCAAAAACCGCAAAUGCGACACCUGUGGUGAACUGUUCCACCUGGCUGAUCAUCUAUCUGAACAUUACCGACCGCGCACAGACGAGAGACCCUACAGAUGCGAGUGACCCUGGCUACUCCCUCCGCCUGCUCCAAGAGGCGCCUCUCGGCCCCCAGCCCCAGCCGGGCAAGGAGGAUCUCCCACGGUUCCCUACUGUAGGUAAGCAUCUCAGGCGAGCUUGCUUCCUGUGGUCUUUUUGUGCAUUCCCACGUCACAUAUGGUAGUGACGGCCAUGCACCGCACCAUGGACAAGUGCCGGCACGUAGGGUGGAAUUCAAGUGGUGUGCUCUUCCCAAGUUGGUGAUAGGUGUGUGUUUGUAUUCUUCUGUAUGCGCGGGCUUCUUGUACCCCCCGUUGCCGA
Molecule: long non-coding RNA, 1235 nt
Organism: Dermacentor andersoni
Lineage: Eukaryota; Metazoa; Arthropoda; Arachnida; Ixodida; Ixodidae
Source: RefSeq, a predicted model, not a curated record